This is an RNA transcript of Salvia hispanica, 3909 nucleotides long. It is a transcript of the gene named polyadenylation and cleavage factor homolog 4, with no coding region annotated. Lineage: Eukaryota; Viridiplantae; Streptophyta; Magnoliopsida; Lamiales; Lamiaceae. The record is from RefSeq and is a predicted model, not a curated record.
CCCAAUUCUCAAUCACCAUUCAACCCCGAAAAAACCCUAUCAUUGUCUCUUUCUCCCUCCACCUCCUUCUCCCCUCUGUCGGAAAUUUCAUAUCUCGGAUAUGCAUGUGCCUUUGAUGUUUCGAUGUGUAGAGUCCCGCUUGUACUGUUAGAAAUUCUUUGUUAGAUUUCAAUUUGUUGUCAGCGGUAGUUUUUGUAAUGCUUUUCAAUUGAUUUUCUUUUAUUUGCAGUUUUCCGAAUUGUGAUUUGAAUGUAGUAGCUGUUUUUUUGCGGUAGCUUUUUGAGUAGUGUGUGAUUCUAGUAUUGGAAAUGAGAAAGAGUGAUGUAGAGUUAGGGAUUUUGUAAUCAUUUUGAUGGAAAUGGAGAGCACACGAAGAUCGUUCGACAGAUCUCUUUCGAAAGAGCCGGGACCGAAGAAACCUAGGCUUACAGAGGACUCUGCUGCAGCGGAUCGAAUCACCAAUGGCCGUGCCGGAUUUGUCCAACGUCCUGCUGUUGGCGGAGGCCCGAGGACCCAGAGGGACCGAGACUCGGAGAGUAGCGAUUCUAUGCGGGGGGGAUUUCAUCACCAGACAGGGGCGCAGUUACAUCAGGAACUGGUGACUCAGUACAAGACCGCAUUGGCUGAGCUGACUUUCAAUUCGAAGCCCAUAAUAACCAACCUGACAAUUAUUGCCGGAGAGAGUUUGCCUGCUGCCAAGGCCAUUGCAGCUACUAUCUGCAACAAUAUUAUUGAGGUUCCUAGCGAUCAAAAACUGCCUUCUCUGUAUCUAUUAGACAGCAUUGUGAAAAACAUUGGGAGAGAUUACAUAAAAUUCUUCGCUUCCAGAUUACCGGAGGUCUUUUGUAAGGCAUAUAGACAGGUUGAUCCUUCAAUACACCAAGGUAUGCGGCACCUCUUUGGGACCUGGAAGGGAGUCUUCCCCCCACAGUCGCUUCAGCUGAUUGAGAGGGAACUUGGAUUCACCUCUGCAGCUAAUGUAUCAGCAGCCUCUAGAACUGAAUCACAAGCCCAACGUCCUGCACAUAGCAUUCAUGUAAACCCUAAGUAUUUGGAGGCAAGGCAGCGACUGCAAACCAGCAGGUCUAUCCAGCAACAUCAAAGAGAUCAAGUAAAUAAUCCAGUUCGUGAGAAAAGUUCUGGUAUAGAAUUUGCAGAUGACUAUGGUUCUGGUGUCUUGGGGCGAUCAGGCUUGGGAAGUGGAAGGAUGACAGAACACCUUAAAGAUCCUGGAUAUGACAGGCCCUGGGAUGAAUCAGACAGUGAUUUGAUUGGGAUGGGACAUCAAAAGAAUGGUUUUGGUCUGAAACAUGGAUUAGAAAGCUAUGUUGCCCAUGAAUCUGUAAAUUUUGACUCAGAUCUACAGUCUAAGAAAAAUAUAUCCAGUAGGAACACAAAUGGGAUGAGGGAGAACUGGAAAGACUCUGAGGAGGAGGAGUAUACCUGGAGUGAGAUGAACUCUAGACAUACUGUAGCUGAUGCUCCAACUAAAAAUCAAUGGGCACCAGCCAAUUAUGAUAGAGUGGAUUUUGAAAGCCAUCUCCCAGGACAUCAAAAUAUACAUGAUAUUGGGCCAAGGGAUGAAGAUGAACUCUCAAUUGAUUCCAUCUCUAUGGAUCGCAGCCAAGUGGCUUCGGGGGCUCAAGUGCCAUUGUGGUCACAAAAGCUGCAUCCACCAGAAGGGAGUACACAUUUAGGGAGUGGUAAAACCUUAUCAGCUCAGUCUGAGGGAUAUGCAACUGGGUUGAAUAGCACCAAAAGUACAAUGGGCAAGACCCAUUCUCAGUCACAGCUCGGUCAAACUCAUAUUGGAAUGCCAAGCUUUAAGUUCCCAAUGAAUGAAACACCUUUGUCGAAAGCAUCAAUGAGUCAAGAGCGGCAGACCCUUGCCCCUUCAUCCUCAGCACGAUCAUUAGUGCAUCAACGUCCUCCGUCACCUUCUGUUGCUUCUCACGGCCAGAAUCAAUUUCUAAACAAUUCUUCUGAGCGCAACCCCACAGCUACAGGUCCUCCUAAAGAUCCUAGAAGGCGUCCAGGGCAAAAGAACACGAACUAUCCUGACCAAGUUUCAGAGGAUCCUCCUAUGCCAACUCGGGGAGUUUAUCAGGCCAGCACACAGAAGCCGCAACCUACAAAUCUACGGUCUACGUCCACUAUGGCACCUCCGACUCAACAAAGGAAACAUGCUCCUGCUGCUCGACCAAGGAGUGUUGAAGUCUCUCAAUUUGAGACUUCUGCUCCUGAACACCGCAUGCUACCAUCACAAAUUUCAGGCUCUGGAAGCCGCUCGACGAUGGGGAAUUCGUCUUCUGACCAAUCAAAUCCUUUUACUGUUGAUUCCCCUGGAAAAUCCAUUACUAGUUCACUAACAGGAAGCUUAAAUAACCCUAUUAGUUCUCAAGAAACCAGUCCCGGUUCAUCUGUGAAGAUGCCAAGUGCAGUUAAUUCCACCUCAAAUCCUUUUUCCAGUCUCUUAAGCUCAUUGGUUGCAAAAGGCCUGAUAUCUUCUUCGAAGUCUGAUCCAGUGUUGUCUACAUCACCUAAACCUGAUCUACCUAUGGACAAAGUUCCGGAGACUGCAAAACCUAGUUCAGCUCCAGUUUGUUCUGUUCCAGUCACAUUGUCAAAACCUUUUAUGUCUGUGAGUGACAAGCCAUCUUCAUCUGAGGCUACGCUUAAUGCCCCCUCAACAGAGAAGAUAAAACAUCUUAUUGGUUUUGACUUCAAGCCAGAUGUAGUCCGUAAGUUCCAUCCAGAUGUGAUUAGUGAUCUUCUCUGUAAUCUUCCACAUCUUUGUACCAUAUGUGGUCUUAAACUAAAAUUUCAAGAACAGCUUGACAAACACAUGGAAUGGCAUGCAUCAAAGGUUCCUGAGGAUGACCCCUUGAGCAAGAUGUCAAGGAGUUGGUACACAGAUGUAGUUGAUUGGGUUUCAGGAGUUGGUAAUUCUCAUCUUGAAAGUAGUCCUUUGGAUAUAGGAGGUUCAGGUGAUAUACUAGAAAGUAAUGAGCCAUUGGUCCCAGCAGAUGAGAGUCAAUGUGCAUGUAUAUUGUGUGGUGAGCUGUUUGAAGAUUUCUACGAUCAAGAAAACGAUGAAUGGAUGUUUAAAGGAGCUCUUUACUUAACCAUCCCAUCCCUGAAUGAGGGACUUGGAGCUACAAGUGAUACUUUGGUUCUUAGUCCGAUAGUCCAUUCUGACUGUAUAUCAGAAGACACUAUGAAUGACUUGGGGCUAGCUUAUGAUGUCAAAAUGGAAAAGGAAUAACAUCUCAAGGAGGGAGUAAGAUUUAACGAUGCUCGCUCACAAUCCAUGCCUAUAGCGCCUAGCACGGAAUGAACAGAAAUUUUGCAUUUACAUUGAGCUUGUAGUAUAUGAUCAUAGCUAAUGGCUAUGCACUGUGGCUUGGAUAUGCCAUUGAAGGUAUCAUGCCAGCAUUGGUGUCUGUAUUAUUCCAGAUCUCUUAUAUGAUGAUACCAAAUGCUAAUGUUAAUCUUUCGGCAGGAUGUAAUGCCUAUUUCAGACAUGUUUCUCUGUAUAUGUACCUUGCAACAGGUAAAAUGGAAUUACUAUCAUUUUGUAGACUUCUACUUGUUUUUCGUUUCUCAUGAAGGUUGUAUUAUUUAGGAAACUGGUCUCUUUGCUAAACGAAAGCGUUCUCAGUAACUUGAGAAUCCUGCUUCUGUAUUGGCUCUUUUGACUACUGUUGGUGUUGGUUUCUGUUUGAUGUUUUAAAUUUCCUACAUCUCUGUUAAAGUGAAUUGUAUGGCAAAUAAUUUUAUACUCCAUUUGGAUGGGACUCUGAGUUCUUGUGUGGUAUACGUAUGAAGGAGUAUAUUUGUUAUCAUAGAGUAAUUGGUGAUUGUAUAUUGAACAGUGUAAUUCAAUCGAUUUGGUGAUAGCUUUCUUAA